Molecule: ribosomal RNA, 439 nt
Filed under: uncultured bacterium
Lineage: Bacteria
Description: partial 16S ribosomal RNA
Rfam family: Bacterial small subunit ribosomal RNA
Source: RNAcentral
CCUACGGGAGGCAGCAGUGGGGGAUAUUGCACAAUGGGGGAAACCCUGAUGCAGCGAUGCCGCGUGAAUGAAGACGGCCCUCGGGUUGUAAAGUUCUUUCGCUGGGGACGUAAAUGACGGUACCCUGCAAGAAAGCUCCGGCUUACUUCGUGCCAGCUGCCGCGGCAAUACGUAGGGAGCAAGCGUUGUCCGGAAUUACUGGGUGUUAAGGGAUCGUAGGUGGGAGGAUAGGUUGAAGGUGAAGUCUUUGGGCUAAACCCAAAGCUGCGUUUAAAACUGUUCUUCUUGAGUGAAGUAGAGGCAGGCGGAAUUCGUAGUGUAGCGGUGAAAUGCGUAGAUAUUAGGAGGAACACCAGUGGCGAAGGCGGCCUGCUGGGCUUUUACUGACGCUGAGGCUCGAAAGCGUGGGUAGCAAACAGGAUUAGAUACCCCUGUAGUC